GAUGAACGCUGGCGGCGUGCCUAAUACAUGCAAGUCGAGCGAACAGACGAGGAGCUUGCUCCUCUGACGUUAGCGGCGGACGGGUGAGUAACACGUGGAUAACCUACCUAUAAGACUGGGAUAACUUCGGGAAACCGGAGAUAAUACCGGAUAAUAUAUUGAACCGCAUGGUUCAAUAGUGAAAGACGGUUUUGCUGUCACUUAUAGAUGGAUCCGCGCCGCAUUAGCUAGUUGGUAAGGUAACGGCUUACCAAGGCAACGAUGCGUAGCCGACCUGAGAGGGUGAUCGGCCACACUGGAACUGAGACACGGUCCAGACUCCUACGGGAGGCAGCAGUAGGGAAUCUUGCGCAAUGGGGGGAAGCCUGACGGAGCAACGCCGCGUGAGUGAUGAAGGUCUUCGGAUCGUAAAACUCUGUUAUUAGGGAAGAACAAAUGUGUAAGUAACUAUGCACGUCUUGACGGUACCUAAUCAGAAAGCCACGGCUAACUACGUG
RNAcentral lists this ribosomal RNA (497 nucleotides) under uncultured bacterium. RNAcentral's name for it is "partial 16S ribosomal RNA". It matches the Rfam family "Bacterial small subunit ribosomal RNA", at positions 28 to 507 of the family's 1533-position model. The record is from RNAcentral.